RNAcentral lists this ribosomal RNA (318 nucleotides) under Triticum aestivum (bread wheat). Its description in RNAcentral is "partial small subunit ribosomal RNA". Lineage: Eukaryota; Viridiplantae; Streptophyta; Magnoliopsida; Poales; Poaceae. The record is from RNAcentral.
AUGGACGAGACUGCUUCAGGGUCGGGCACGACGGCCUCCGACCUAGAAGCCAUGAUGGAGGAGCUUGGACUGAAAGAGGACGAGCUUGAGGAUGUAGUGGUGGAAGAUGACGAGUUGCCAGCGGAGGCGACGCGAUGGAUGACCAUUGCUAGGGUUCACACCGAGAAAAGCUACAGCCAGUACUGGUUCUAUCGAGGUAUGAGGGUUGCUUGGGAUCUAGCGAAGGAAGUCAAGAUCAAACCGCUUGAAGAGAAUCUGUACACCAUGCAAUUUGGUUGCUUGGGUGACUGGGAACGGGUCAUGGAGGAGGGACCCUAG